This 1485-nucleotide ribosomal RNA is filed under the name metagenome. Its description in RNAcentral is "bacterial SSU rRNA". It matches the Rfam family "Bacterial small subunit ribosomal RNA". The record is from RNAcentral.
AGAGUUUGAUCCUGGCUCAGGAUGAACGCUAGCGGCAGGCCUAACACAUGCAAGUCGAGGGGCAGCAUUUCUAGCUUGCUAGAAGAUGGCGACCGGCGCACGGGUGAGUAACGCGUAUGCAACCUACCUUAUACUGGGGGAUAGCCCAGAGAAAUCUGGAUUAAUACCGCAUAACAUAUUUGAAUCGCAUGAUUUGAAUAUUAAAACUCCGGUGGUAUAAGAUGGGCAUGCGUAGCAUUAGUUCGUUGGUGAGGUAACGGCUCACCAAGACUAUGAUGCUUAGGGGGUCUGAGAGGAUAGUCCCCCACACUGGUACUGAGACACGGACCAGACUCCUACGGGAGGCAGCAGUGAGGAAUAUUGGUCAAUGGGCGAAAGCCUGAACCAGCCAUGUCGCGUGCAGGAUGACGGCCCUAUGGGUUGUAAACUGCUUUUUUUACAGGAAUAAUUGUCGAUACGUGUAUCGAUUUGAAUGUACUGUAUGAAUAAGGAUCGGCUAACUCCGUGCCAGCAGCCGCGGUAAUACGGAGGAUUCGAGCGUUAUCCGGAUUUAUUGGGUUUAAAGGGUCCGUAGGCGGUUCUUUAAGUCAGUGGUGAAAUCCCAGAGCUCAACUCUGGAACUGCCAUUGAAACUGAAGAACUUGAAUAUGGUUGAGGUAGGCGGAAUACGUUAUGUAGCGGUGAAAUGCAUAGAUAUAACGUAGAACACCAAUUGCGAAGGCAGCUUACUAAACCAUUAUUGACGCUGAUGGACGAAAGCGUGGGGAGCGAACAGGAUUAGAUACCCUGGUAGUCCACGCCGUAAACGAAGAUUACUCGUUGUGCACAAUACAUCGUGCGUGACUGAGCGAAAGCAUUAAGUAAUCCACCUGGGGAGUACGUUCGCAAGAAUGAAACUCAAAGGAAUUGACGGGGGCCCGCACAAGCGGAGGAACAUGUGGUUUAAUUCGAUGGUACGCGAGGAACCUUACCUGGACUUAAAUGUAGAUUGACCCUCUUAGAAAUAGGAGUUCUCUUCGGAGCAAUUUACAAGGUGCUGCAUGGUUGUCGUCAGCUCGUGCCGUGAGGUGUCGGGUUAAGUCCCAUAACGAGCGCAACCCCUAUCGUUAGUUGCUAGCAGGUAAUGCUGAGGACUCUAGCGAGACUGCCACCGUAAGGUGAGAGGAAGGUGGGGAUGACGUCAAAUCAGCACGGCCCUUACGUCCAGGGCUACACACGUGUUACAAUGGCCAGUACAAAGGGCAGCUACCUGGUGACAGGAUGCUAACCUCAAAAGCUGGUCUCAGUUCGGAUCGGAGUCUGCAACUCGACUCCGUGAAGUUGGAUUCGCUAGUAAUCGUAUAUCAGCAAUGAUACGGUGAAUACGUUCCCGGGCCUUGUACACACCGCCCGUCAAGCCAUGGAAGCCGAGGGUGCCUGAAGUACGUUACCGCAAGGAGCGUCCUAGGGUAAAAUUGGUAACUGGGGCUAAGUCGUAACAAGGUA